UACAGAGGGUGCAAGCGUUAAUCGGAAUUACUGGGCGUAAAGCGCACGUAGGCGGUUUUUUAAGUCAGAUGUGAAAGCCCCGGGCUCAACCUGGGAAUUGCAUUUGAAACUGGGGAACUAGAGUGUGUGAGAGGGGGGUAGAAUUCCAAGUGUAGCGGUGAAAUGCGUAGAGAUUUGGAGGAAUACCAGUGGCGAAGACGGCCCCCUGGCACAAUACUGACGCUCAGGUGCGAAAGCGUGGGGAGCAAACAGG
Molecule: ribosomal RNA, 253 nt
Filed under: uncultured bacterium
Lineage: Bacteria
Description: partial 16S ribosomal RNA
Rfam family: Bacterial small subunit ribosomal RNA
Source: RNAcentral